RNAcentral lists this ribosomal RNA (491 nucleotides) under uncultured bacterium. RNAcentral describes it as "partial 16S ribosomal RNA". It matches the Rfam family "Bacterial small subunit ribosomal RNA", at positions 29 to 506 of the family's 1533-position model. The record is from RNAcentral.
AGUGAACGCUGGCGGUAGGCCUAACACAUGCAAGUCGAACGGCAGCACAGUAAGAGCUUGCUCUUACGGGUGGCGAGUGGCGGACGGGUGAGGAAUACAUCGGAAUCUACUUUUUCGUGGGGGAUAACGUAGGGAAACUUACGCUAAUACCGCAUACGACCUACGGGUGAAAGCAGGGGAUCUUCGGACCUUGCGCGAUUGAAUGAGCCGAUGUCGGAUUAGCUAGUUGGCGGGGUAAAGGCCCACCAAGGCGACGAUCCGUAGCUGGUCUGAGAGGAUGAUCAGCCACACUGGAACUGAGACACGGUCCAGACUCCUACGGGAGGCAGCAGUGGGGAAUAUUGGACGAUGGGCGCAAGCCUGAUCCAGCCAUACCGCGUGGGUGAAGGAGGCCUUCGGGUUGUAAAGCCCUUUUGUUGGGAAAGAAAAGCAGCAGGUUAAUACCCCGCUGUUCUGACGGUACCCAAAGAAUAAGCACCGGCUAACUUCGU